GACGAACGCUGGCGGCGUGCCUAAUACAUGCAAGUCGAACGCACUCUCGUUUAGAUUGAAGGAGCUUGCUCCUGAUUGAUAAACAUUUGAGUGGGUGGCGGACGGGUGAGUAACACGUGGGUAACCUGCCCUAAAGUGGGGAUAACAUUUGGAAACAGAUGCUAAUACCGCAUAAAACCUAACACCGCAUGGUGUAGGGGUUGAAAGAUGGUUUCGGCUAUCACUUUAGGAUGGACCCGCGGUGCAUUAGUUAGUUGGUGAGGUAAAGGCUCACCAAGACCGUGAUGCAUAGCCGACCUGAGAGGGUAAUCGGCCACACUGGGACUGAGACACGGCCCAGACUCCUACGGGAGGCAGCAGUAGGGAAUCUUCCACAAUGGACGAAAGUCUGAUGGAGCAACGCCGCGUGAGUGAAGAAGGUUUUCGGAUCGUAAAACUCUGUUGUUGGAGAAGAAUGUAUCUAGAUAGUAACUGAUCAGGUAGUGACGGUAU
RNAcentral lists this ribosomal RNA (492 nucleotides) under uncultured bacterium. Its description in RNAcentral is "bacterial SSU rRNA". It matches the Rfam family "Bacterial small subunit ribosomal RNA", at positions 28 to 478 of the family's 1533-position model. The record is from RNAcentral.